GCCGAAAUAGCUCAGUUAGGAGACCAUUAGACUGAAGAUUUAAAGGUCCCUGGUUCGAUCCCGGGUUUCUGUG
This 73-nucleotide transfer RNA is filed under the name Tursiops truncatus (common bottlenose dolphin). Its description in RNAcentral is "tRNA-Phe (GAA) (tRNA-Phe-GAA-8-1)". It matches the Rfam family "tRNA". From Rfam's summary of the family: Transfer RNA (tRNA) molecules are approximately 80 nucleotides in length. Their secondary structure includes four short double-helical elements and three loops (D, anti-codon, and T loops). Lineage: Eukaryota; Metazoa; Chordata; Mammalia; Artiodactyla; Delphinidae. The record is from RNAcentral.